This is a long non-coding RNA of Sinocyclocheilus rhinocerous, 100 nucleotides long. RefSeq lists it as uncharacterized. NCBI's taxonomy places the organism in Eukaryota, Metazoa, Chordata, Actinopteri, Cypriniformes, Cyprinidae. The transcript is spliced from 3 exons. The record is from RefSeq and is a predicted model, not a curated record.
UCAAUUAAAGACCGUUCAUAAUUGAAUUCAUUGAUGUCAUUGUCCUGCUCAGUUCAUUUUAAAUAGUAUCUGUGCAAUCAAGUCGACGAUAUCGCUGAAA